RNAcentral lists this unclassified non-coding RNA (300 nucleotides) under Hevea brasiliensis (rubber tree). Lineage: Eukaryota; Viridiplantae; Streptophyta; Magnoliopsida; Malpighiales; Euphorbiaceae. The record is from RNAcentral.
GAUGCUCGGAAAUCCACACCGGCAGGCCUAGGAAGUUGUAUGAAGUUACGAGAAUGCAAGUCAGCUGCAAACACAGUCUGCAUGCAACAAGAAUGCCAUACUAGUUCAAGAUGCCAAAAACAAAAGGUUCAAGCAAAAACGACAGAUUCAAAAAACAAAUGGAACAUAUUUAUAUACGCACAAGAAUGGAGAUGUAAUACUAAAACCAAAAAGAUAAUUCAGAUAUUAACUACAAUAAGAUAAUUCAGCAUGUUAGAUUACUCAUACAACAACAUGCACUGCAGCCAAAAUGAAUCUUAC